AUGAAGCUUUUAUCCGAAGUGAUUUACAGUGCUCUUAUUACAGGGGCCUACAAUCCCCCGAUCAACCUGGAGAAUAGAGCCUUGCUCGAGGAGACACUGGUGGUUUUGAACCAGCAGCCUUCUGCUCACCAGUUCAGUGGUUUAGCCCACUACAAAGUAGUCAUGCUCAUGGAGAGCAGGCACACGAAUGCUUGGAGCAGACACAGCAGCAGCCAGAUUGUCCCGCACGUGUUCCCUGCUCUUGAUUCAAGGUUGUGUGCUUCAGAGAGCCGUCGUCAUAGUCUUCCUCAUCCUCUUGCUCAACGAUGUCCCCAUUGAGAAGAGAGAGAUUGUGAAGCACAGCGCAGCUGCAGAAUUGGCACAGCAGUGUUGAGAUGGCAGUAGGUUAUGGGUUCACCAUCUGUAAAUACAUGACUGUUAGAACAAUAAGUCUGAAUGAAGCUUCGUUUCAUCUGUUGUUGACUUGUAUAUUUAUGUAUUUAUUGUGAUGCUUUUAUUCAUUCCUUUACUCAUUUAUUCAUGUUUCUUAUUGUUGUCAGUUAAUAAAAUAUUAAUAUUUUAUUAAUUAAUGUAUUAA
Molecule: long non-coding RNA, 577 nt
Organism: Cyprinus carpio (common carp)
Lineage: Eukaryota; Metazoa; Chordata; Actinopteri; Cypriniformes; Cyprinidae
Source: Ensembl